GGGAUUAUAGUUAUUAUAACGUAUAGUUUGCAUCUAUAAAAAAUUGAUUAAAUCAAUUCUUCUC
Molecule: transfer RNA, 64 nt
Filed under: Neoporus sp. NHM-IR594
Lineage: Eukaryota; Metazoa; Arthropoda; Insecta; Coleoptera; Dytiscidae
Description: tRNA-Ala
Source: RNAcentral